UCAGAACGAAACAAUUUUAUUGGACAAGAAAGAGGCCGCCUCUUCCCUUCUAUACCAAAAACACAUUUUAUGAACUUAAAGGAAAAUUACCUAAAAGAACCUUACAUCAAUAUGAAAAUCCAAAAAAUAAAUAUACUCUCAACCCCAAAUUUCACAACCCCCAACUCUCCACGUAAUCUCUCUAUCUCUCAAACAACCUCAUACAACAAAAACUCUCAAACUCUCUUCUAAUAGAAACUUUAGUCCAUCUCCCUAACCUUCUCUUUUUCCAUCUCCAUAUCAAUUUUCAGCCAACUCUUCACCCCUAUCAUAAAACAAAAGAACUAGUUAGCAGUUAAUAGCCAAGCAUGGUAUUAACGAUAUGGGUUUGCUCACGUAUAUGUCAAAAGUCUAUAGAGAUGCUCGAAUUUUCAAACUCUUGUGUUUCAAAACUCCAGCUAUUUCUAUCGAUGUUUCUCUACGAAAAAUCUAAUUCCAUAAAUUUCGAUCGAGUUCAAUGACAAUGUAUUUAACUUUUUUCUUAUCGAUAUGUACUAACACUAACCAGCAAACUAACAUCUCUGUUUAAACUAUUGCUUUAUGUGUUCUACUAACAUCUAACUAACAAUAUUAUUCAAAUCACGCUUAAAAUAGCCAUCAUUUCGUUUCAUAUUAAAUCAUAAACAUCACUUUGCUUUUUUAUAAUAUCACUGCUACUAUUGNNNNNNNNNNNNNNNNNNNNNNNNUGCCACUUAUUAAAAAUCAAUUCAAGAGACCAAUAAUGAGUAUUUACCUGUAAAAAAGUAGUAACUAAAUUAGAGAAAAUAGAUUUUAUCUGAGCAUGUAUGUGUUUGUUUUCUGAUUAAAAACUUGGGAUUUUGUCUAUCCUUUUUCACCUUCUUCUUCAUCUUUUUUACCUGGAAUUGAAGAGAACAAAUCAAAAGGGAUGAUCAGUUCUAAUCGAAAUGACAAAAUCAAAUCAAAUAUAAAUGAAAAUGGGGCUUAAAAUUUGUGAAUGCCAGAAUAGAUAUUUUUCUCUUGUUUGAAUCCCAACAUAACGGUAAUGUGAAGAUCAGAAAAAGAAAGCCAAAAUCGCAAUUUUGAGAAGAGGUAAGACGUUUAGGGUUCUUGUUCUUGUAUCUGAUCUGAAAAUAAAAGAGGAGAAAAGGAAAGAUAAAGAGGAGAAAAAAAGCCGUCGUUGGAGAGAAAAAGAAAAAGAAGAAGAAAGAAAAAAGAGGAAAAAGAGAAAUAGAGGGGGCAGCCGCCGCCAUCGCCGGUGGAGAAGUAUGGAGAGAGAGAGAGGAUUUGAGGAGUAGAGAGCGGGAGGUUAGGGAUUAGAAUGAUUGAUUUCGAUUUAAAAGUGUAAGUUUAUAUUUUCAAUGUAAGUUACGAUUUCGCCCAUCACUC
This 1386-nucleotide long non-coding RNA is filed under the name Linum usitatissimum (flax). RNAcentral's name for it is "long non-coding RNA (LUSI_LNC004493)". Lineage: Eukaryota; Viridiplantae; Streptophyta; Magnoliopsida; Malpighiales; Linaceae. The record is from RNAcentral.